GGGAUUGCCUCAGUAACGGCGAGUGAAGUGGCAACAGCUCAAAUUUGAAAUCUGGCCCCUUCGGGGUCCGAGUUGUAAUUUGUAGAGAGUGUUUCGGGGGAGAACGCGGUCUAAGUCCAUUGGAACAUGGCGUCAUAGAGGGUGAGAAUCCCGUAUGUGACCGCGGCUCGAGCCCAUGUGAAGCCUCUUCGACGAGUCGAGUUGUUUGGGAAUGCAGCUCAAAAUGGGUGGUAAAUUUCAUCUAAAGCUAAAUACUGGCUGGAGACCGAUAGCGCACAAGUAGAGUGAUCGAAAGAUGAAAAGCACUUUGGAAAGAGAGUUAAACAGUACGUGAAAUUGUUGAAAGGGAAGCGCUUGCAACCAGACCUGCCCGUGGGCGAUCAGCCGCUGUUCUCAGCGGUGCACUCGUUCCGCGAUCAGGCCAGCAUCGGUUUCGGCGGCCGGAUAAAGGCCCUGGGAAUGUAGCUCCCCUUCGGGGGAGUGUUAUAGCCCUCGGUGCAAUGCGGCCAGCCGGGACCGAGGACCGCGCUUCGGCUAGGAUGCUGGCGUAAUGGUUGUAAGCGACCCGUCUUGAAACACGGACCAAGGAGUCUAACAUCUAUGCGAGUGUUUGGGUGUCAAACCCAUGCGCGGAAUGAAAGUGAACGGAGGUGAGAACCCUGAAGGGCGCAUCAUCGACCGAUCCAGAUGUCUUCGGAUGGAUUUGAGUAUGAGCAUAGCUGUUGGGACCCGAAAGAUGGUGAACUAUGCCUGAAUAGGGUGAAGCCAGAGGAAACUCUGGUGGAGGCUCGCAGCGGUUCUGACGUGCAAAUCGAUCGUCAAAUUUGGGUAUAGGGGCGAAAGACUAAUC
RNAcentral lists this ribosomal RNA (850 nucleotides) under Flavoparmelia citrinescens. RNAcentral's name for it is "eukaryotic LSU rRNA". It matches the Rfam family "Eukaryotic large subunit ribosomal RNA", at positions 71 to 936 of the family's 3401-position model. The record is from RNAcentral. Lineage: Eukaryota; Fungi; Ascomycota; Lecanoromycetes; Lecanorales; Parmeliaceae.